CAAGACGUAGCUCAACAUCACAGCACUCAGCUUACACCUGAGAGAUACUUGCCCACAACUCAGGUCAUCUUGA
RNAcentral lists this transfer RNA (73 nucleotides) under Dryobates pubescens (Downy woodpecker). RNAcentral describes it as "Picoides pubescens (Downy woodpecker) tRNA-Val". Lineage: Eukaryota; Metazoa; Chordata; Aves; Piciformes; Picidae. The record is from RNAcentral.